CGAGCACGCGCGUGUGGCAUAUCAAUAAGCGGAGGAAAAGAAACUAACAAGGAUUCCCUUAGUAACGGCGAGUGAAGCGGGAAGAGCUCAAAUUUGAAAUCUUCAAGGUUCUACCUUGACGAAUUGUAGUUUAUAGAAGUGUUUUCUGUUAGUGGAGUGGCAAAAGUUCUUUGGAAUAGGACAUCAUAGAGGGUGAGAAUCCCGUAUUUGGUCAUUCCUCCUAGCGUUGUGAUACACUUUCAACGAGUCGGAUUGUUUGGGAAUGCAGUCCAAAAUGGGUGGUAAAUUUCAUCUAAAGCUAAAUAUUGGCGAGAGACCGAUAGCGAACAAGUACCGUGAGGGAAAGAUGAAAAGAACUUUGAAAAGAGAGUUAAACAGUACGUGAAAUUGUCAAAAGGGAAGCGUUUGACACCAGUGUUGUUUUUCCGAAAAUCAAUUACGAAUGUUUUAUUUUUGAGGAGUUAUGACUUCAUCGGCUUGCUCCUUUCUUUAUGAAACUUUCUUAAUGCACUUUUCGGUUAACAAGUCAACAUCAAUUUCUUUUGUUGUAAAAGGGUAUGAGGAAGGUGGCUUUCUUUUCGGAGAAAGUGUUUAUAGCCUUGUGCCUCUGCAAUCGGAGAGAUUGAGGUCUGCAGCGUAGAUCCUUCGGGGUUAGAUACAGUUUGUGCUAAGUUAUAGCUUUUCAUAGACAACUUGUUGACUAUGUUUAGUCUUGUAGCUUACUCGCUUAUGCUAUUUUACCUACGCUUAGGAUGUUGAUGUGAUACUGCGAGCA
RNAcentral lists this ribosomal RNA (775 nucleotides) under uncultured Neocallimastigales. RNAcentral describes it as "partial large subunit ribosomal RNA". It matches the Rfam family "Eukaryotic large subunit ribosomal RNA", at positions 19 to 646 of the family's 3401-position model. Lineage: Eukaryota; Fungi; Neocallimastigomycota; Neocallimastigomycetes; Neocallimastigales. The record is from RNAcentral.